UGAGAACCUCCUGCCUCAGCCUCUUGAGCAGCUGGAAUUGUAGACCUGCCCAGCAAUUAAAAAAAAAAAAAGAAAUAUCACAGUCCAUUGGAUUUAAUGAGGGGCACCUGGAGCUCUGGAGUUGAUCCCUGGUGUGUUGUCUGUGCCAAUACCAUCAGUAAAAUGAAAUCUCUUUAUUUUUAAAUGAACAAAUAAAGCGUUGGCAUAUUCUU
Molecule: non-coding RNA, 212 nt
Organism: Marmota flaviventris (yellow-bellied marmot)
Lineage: Eukaryota; Metazoa; Chordata; Mammalia; Rodentia; Sciuridae
Source: RefSeq, a predicted model, not a curated record